This 994-nucleotide ribosomal RNA is filed under the name Pantoea dispersa. RNAcentral's name for it is "bacterial SSU rRNA". It matches the Rfam family "Bacterial small subunit ribosomal RNA", at positions 40 to 1000 of the family's 1533-position model. Lineage: Bacteria; Pseudomonadati; Pseudomonadota; Gammaproteobacteria; Enterobacterales; Erwiniaceae. The record is from RNAcentral.
GGGAAAGCGCAGCUACACAUGCAGUCGAACGGCAGCACAGAAGAGCUUGCUCUUUGGGUGGCGAGUGGCGGACGGGUGAGUAAUGUCUGGGAAACUGCCCGAUGGAGGGGGAUAACUACUGGAAACGGUAGCUAAUACCGCAUAACGUCGCAAGACCAAAGUGGGGGACCUUCGGGCCUCACACCAUCGGAUGUGCCCAGAUGGGAUUAGCUAGUAGGUGGGGUAAUGGCUCACCUAGGCGACGAUCCCUAGCUGGUCUGAGAGGAUGACCAGCCACACUGGAACUGAGACACGGUCCAGACUCCUACGGGAGGCAGCAGUGGGGAAUAUUGCACAAUGGGCGCAAGCCUGAUGCAGCCAUGCCGCGUGUAUGAAGAAGGCCUUCGGGUUGUAAAGUACUUUCAGCGGGGAGGAAGGCGGUGAGGUUAAUAACCUUGCCGAUUGACGUUACCCGCAGAAGAAGCACCGGCUAACUCCGUGCCAGCAGCCGCGGUAAUACGGAGGGUGCAAGCGUUAAUCGGAAUUACUGGGCGUAAAGCGCACGCAGGCGGUCUGUUAAGUCAGAUGUGAAAUCCCCGGGCUUAACCUGGGAACUGCAUUUGAAACUGGCAGGCUUGAGUCUCGUAGAGGGGGGUAGAAUUCCAGGUGUAGCGGUGAAAUGCGUAGAGAUCUGGAGGAAUACCGGUGGCGAAGGCGGCCCCCCUGGACUAAAGACUGACGCUCAGGUGCGAAAAGCGUGGGGAGCAAACAGGAUUAUAUACCCCUGGUAGUCCCUCUCCGUAAACGAAUGUCCGACUUGUAGGUUGUGCCCUUGAGUAGUGGCCUUCUUGAAACUAACGCGUUAAUUCAACCCCCCAGGGGGAGUACCGGCCGCAAGGGUCAGAACACAUAUGAUCUGACCUGUCGUCUCCCUCAAGCGGGGGGACUGAUGUGGUUUGAUUUUAUUGGAACGUCGCGAGGACCGCAACCUGCCCUAGACCUCCACGAGAAACUC